Molecule: long non-coding RNA, 727 nt
Filed under: Cricetulus griseus (Chinese hamster)
Lineage: Eukaryota; Metazoa; Chordata; Mammalia; Rodentia; Cricetidae
Description: lncRNA (ENSCGRG00015035196.1)
Source: RNAcentral
GUUCGAGGGGUCUUUUACGAGCCAUCCGCCAUGCUGGAUGGUCUAACAUUUGGGGGCUCGUCCCAGAUUUGCGACCACCCUUCACCUGUAUGGAUUCGAUCUUGGAGGGUUUCUCUGUGUAACAGCACUACCUGUCCUCCUGGCUCCGUCUCACAACAGCCUGCCUAAAAAAUGUCAAGAACACAAACUGGGGUUUGGAAAUUUUGCUCAGGCAAGCGCAAAUCCCUGAGUUUGGUCCUCAGCUCUGAAUGAAAAGCAAAACAGUGUUCCAGGGACUGAGCACUGUGCCAAGAGCCCUCACCCAGUGGCUGAAGGAAGCAGAGACAGACAUCCAGAGAUAUACACUGAGCCGAAAUCAGGAAUUUAGUUGAAGAGAGGAGGAAUGAAGAAUGAAGGAGUGUGUACCAGGUUGGAGAAACCCACAGGAACACUUGACCUGAACAAGGGAGAGCACGUCGACCCCAGAUGCUGUCAGGGAGGCCAGUACAAGACUGAUCCAGACCCCUGAACAUGGAUGUCAAUAAGGAGGCCUCUGCACUCCAGGGAGCCUCUGAUGGUGGAUUAGUAUUUUUCCCUGGUGCAAGAAGGGAUUUUGAGAGCUCAUCCCACGUGAAGGGUUAUACUCUGGCCCUGGACAAAUGGGGAAGGGUCCAGGACUGGCAUAGGAAGACUUGGUGGGCUUUGCAGAUCCCCCGUUGAGGGCCCUACCCUGCCUGGUGAGUGGUGG